GACAGAGGGUGCAAACGUUGCUCGGAAUUACUGGGCGUAAAGCGCGUGUAGGCGGCGCCGCACGUCGGGUGUGAAAGCCCGGGGCUCAACCCCGGAAGCGCACUCGCAACGACGGCGCUCGAGUACUGAAGAGGAGGGCGGAAUUCCCGGUGUAGAGGUGAAAUUCGUAGAUAUCGGGAGGAACACCAGUGGCGAAGGCGGCCCUCUGGGCAGAUACUGACGCUGAGACGCGAAAGCGUGGGUAGCAAACAGG
Molecule: ribosomal RNA, 253 nt
Filed under: uncultured bacterium
Lineage: Bacteria
Description: partial 16S ribosomal RNA
Rfam family: Bacterial small subunit ribosomal RNA
Source: RNAcentral